This 253-nucleotide ribosomal RNA is filed under the name uncultured bacterium. Its description in RNAcentral is "partial 16S ribosomal RNA". It matches the Rfam family "Bacterial small subunit ribosomal RNA", at positions 524 to 776 of the family's 1533-position model. The record is from RNAcentral.
UACGGAGGGUGCGAACGUUAAUCGGAAUCACUGGGCGUAAAGCGCGCGUAGGCGGUUCGUUAAGUGGGAUGUGAAAUCCCCGGGCUUAACCUGGGAAUUGCAUUUCAAACUGGCCGACUAGAGUACGGUAGAGGGAGGUAGAAUUUCCUGUGUAGCAGUGAAAUGCGUAGAUAUAGGAAGGAAUACCAGUGGCGAAGGCGGCCUCCUGGAUCGAUACUGACGCUGAGGCGCGAAAGCGUGGGGAGCAAACAGG